UGUCAGCAGUGUGGCCACAGAGAUUA
Molecule: non-coding RNA, 26 nt
Filed under: Mus musculus (house mouse)
Lineage: Eukaryota; Metazoa; Chordata; Mammalia; Rodentia; Muridae
Source: RNAcentral